Molecule: ribosomal RNA, 253 nt
Filed under: uncultured bacterium
Lineage: Bacteria
Description: partial 16S ribosomal RNA
Rfam family: Bacterial small subunit ribosomal RNA
Source: RNAcentral
UACGUGGGGUGCAAGCGUUGUCCGGAAUUAUUGGGCGUAAAGAGCUCGUAGGCGGUUUGUUGCGUCGGCUGUGAAAUCCCGAGGCUCAACCUCGGGUCUGCAGUCGAUACGAGCAAACUAGAGUGUUGCAGGGGAGACUGGAAUUCCUGGUGUAGCGGUGAAAUGCGCAGAUAUCAGGAGGAACACCGGUGGCGAAGGCGGGUCUCUGGGCAACAACUGACGCUGAGGAGCGAAAGCGUGGGGAGCGAACAGG